RNAcentral lists this transfer RNA (85 nucleotides) under Nitrospirota bacterium. RNAcentral describes it as "Nitrospirae bacterium (hydrothermal vent metagenome) tRNA-Tyr". It matches the Rfam family "tRNA". Rfam says of the family: Transfer RNA (tRNA) molecules are approximately 80 nucleotides in length. Their secondary structure includes four short double-helical elements and three loops (D, anti-codon, and T loops). Lineage: Bacteria; Pseudomonadati; Nitrospirota. The record is from RNAcentral.
GGAGAGGUUCCCGAGUGGCCAAAGGGGACGGGCUGUAAACCCGUUGGCUUAGCCUUCGGAGGUUCGAAUCCUCCCCUCUCCACCA